UAUUGGACAAUGGGCGCAAGCCUGAUCCAGCCAUGCCGCGUGAGUGAUGAAGGCCUUCGGGUUGUAAAGCUCUUUUGGCGGGGACGAUGAUGACGGUACCCGCAGAAUAAGCACCGGCUAACUACGUGCCAGCAGCCGCGGUAAUACGUAGGGUGCAAGCGUUAAUCGGAAUUACUGGGCGUAAAGCGUGCGCAGGCGGUUAUACAAGACAGGCGUGAAAUCCCCGGGCUUAACCUGGGAAUGGCGCCUGUGACUGUAUAGCUAGAGUGUGUCAGAGGGGGGUAGAAUUCCACGUGUAGCAGUGAAAUGCGUAGAUAUGUGGAGGAAUACCAAUGGCGAAGGCAGCCCCCUGGGAUAACACUGACGCUCAUGCACGAAA
Molecule: ribosomal RNA, 379 nt
Filed under: uncultured bacterium
Lineage: Bacteria
Description: bacterial SSU rRNA
Rfam family: Bacterial small subunit ribosomal RNA
Source: RNAcentral